UGCCGGGUCGUCUAACGAGUAGGACGGCGGUCUCUGAAACCGCGAAUGCAUGUGCGAAUCAUGCCCCGGCAGCCA
This 75-nucleotide transfer RNA is filed under the name Opitutaceae bacterium. Its description in RNAcentral is "tRNA-Gln". It matches the Rfam family "tRNA". From Rfam's summary of the family: Transfer RNA (tRNA) molecules are approximately 80 nucleotides in length. Their secondary structure includes four short double-helical elements and three loops (D, anti-codon, and T loops). Lineage: Bacteria; Pseudomonadati; Verrucomicrobiota; Opitutia; Opitutales; Opitutaceae. The record is from RNAcentral.